Molecule: ribosomal RNA, 253 nt
Filed under: uncultured bacterium
Lineage: Bacteria
Description: partial 16S ribosomal RNA
Rfam family: Bacterial small subunit ribosomal RNA
Source: RNAcentral
GACGUAGGGCGCGAGCGUUGUCCGGAAUUAUUGGGCGUAAAGAGCUCGUAGGCGGUUUGUUGCGUCGGCUGUGAAAUCCCGAGGCUCAACCUCGGGUCUGCAGUCGAUACGAGCAAACUAGAGUGUUGCAGGGGAGACUGGAAUUCCUGGUGUAGCGGUGAAAUGCGCAGAUAUCGGGAGGAACACCGGUGGCGAAGGCGGCAUCCUGGACCGGCAUUGACGCUGAGGCGCGAAAGCCAGGGGAGCAAACGGG